GAUCUCCUGGAGGAGGGCAUGACAACCCACUCCAGUAUUCUUGCCCGGAAAAUCCCCAUGGACAGAGGAGCCUGGUGGGCUACAGUGUGUGGGGUCGCAAAGAGUCGGACACGACUGAAUGACAAGCACAGCACAUGCCAUGUCAAAUCCAAAAGAAAAAAAAACCAUGUUAGAAAACAUGAGUUUAAAUAUUUUAAGGCAAGCACUCAAAAAACUCAGUAAUGGCUUAGAAAAGAAAACCAAAAAGCCAAGAUAGUCAGUCCUCUCCUAGAUGAUGAAAUCAAGUGGAGAUAAUGAAACCAAUGUUCUGUGACAAGCUCUGGGCGGGUCCCUCUCUCUCUAGCUGCCUUCUGUUGCUUCUCUUCAAACAGCUUUAUUGAGGUAGAAUUGGCAAUGAACCGCAUAUAUUAAAAAUGUACUGUUUGAUGACUCUCACACACAUAUACCUGUGAAGCCAUUAUUGCAAUCAAAGAUAAAUGUUUCCAUUGCCCCAAAUUCUUCCUCUUUGUGAUCAGGCCCUCCUGUUCCUCCCUGCCUGCCCAGCCCCAAGUAACCACUGUUUUGUCACUAGGCAUGAAUUUGCAUAGUUCAGAAUUUAUGUAAAUAGAAACAUAUGGUAUGUACUCUUUUUAUUUGACUUCACUAAGCAUCAUUCUUUUGAGAUUUAUCCAUGUCCUUUCAUAUAUUAAUGGUCAUUCCUUUUAUUGCCAAGUAGUAUUCCAUUGGAUGGAUGUUCCACAGUUUGUUUAGCUAAUUGCCUGUUGAUACACAUUUGGGCUGUUUCCAGCUUUGGACUAUUUAUGGCAAAUAAAGUUGCUAUGAACAUUCACAUACAUGUCUUUGUGUGGAUAUAAACUUCCAUUUCUCUUGGGUAAAUGCUUUUGAGUGGAAGGGCUGGGUCAUGUAUGUAUUGUUUCACUUAAAAAUUUUUUUUUGUUCAAUUCUGAUUUUUUAAAAAAAUCUUGUUUCACUUUUUAAGAAAAAGCCAAGCUGUUUUGCAAAGUUGUUGGACCAUGUGCAUUCCAACCAGCUGUGCAGGAGAGUUCUAGUUCCUCCAAGUCUUCCUUAACACUUGGGGAUCUUCCCCACCCCGGGCUUGAAUCCAGGUCUCCCGUAUUGCAGGCGGAUUCUUGACCAGCUGAGCCACCGGAGAAGCCCUCAACGUGUAACAGAGAUAAAAAGGAGGCAAACGCUUUUAGAAAAAUGGCACCGAUGGACUUGCCUGACACAGGGUUGCUACAAACCUUCAGUUUGUAAACACAGUCUGCAAAGUACAAUAAAAUGACGUGCAAUGAAGCGAGGUCUGCCAGCAUACAUGUGUGUGUUCAGUCACUCAGCGGUGUCCCACUCUGCGGCUCCCUGGACUGUAGCCCACCAGGCUCCUCUGUCCAUGGGGUUCUCCAGGCAAGAAGCUUAGAGCAGGCUGUUAUCUCCUCCAGGGGAUUGUCCCGACCCAGGGAUGGAACACGCGUCUCCUAUGUCUCCUACGUUGCCAGGAUUCUUUACUGCUCGUGCCACCUAGGAAGCCUGCUGGUAUACAUGUUCUUUGGUAAAGUGUCUAUUGAAAUCUUUUGCUUUUAAAAAUAGGAUUGUUGGACUUACCCUGGUGGCUCAGUGGACAAGAAUCCACCUGCCAAUGAAGGGAACGUGGGUUCCAUCCCUGGUCCAGGAAGAUUCCACAUGGUGCAGAGCAACUAAGCCCUUACACCACAACUAAUGAGCCUGUGUGCCAUGACCCUCAAGCUCAUGCCCACAGGAGAAGCCACUGCAAUAAGAAGUGCAAGGGCUACAACGAAGAGUAGUCCCCGCUGGCUGCAACUAGCAAAAGCCGGCUCACGGCAACGAAGACCCAGCAUAGCCACAAAUAAAUAUUUUUUUAAAUAGAAUUAAAAUUCCAGCUUUGAGAUACAAAUGACAUAAAACAUAUUGAAAGGUUAAAGUGUACCGUGUGAUGAUUUGAUACACAUAUAUUGUGAAAUGAUUACAAUUAGUUAACACCA
This is a long non-coding RNA of Bubalus bubalis (water buffalo), 2000 nucleotides long. RefSeq lists it as uncharacterized. The record is from RefSeq and is a predicted model, not a curated record. Lineage: Eukaryota; Metazoa; Chordata; Mammalia; Artiodactyla; Bovidae. The transcript has 2 exons.